AGGACGUUGUCACGUCGCCGGAAAUAGAGUCAUAAGUGUCCCAAUGUGUAGUGAACCAGCAUCUUUUACUGUCCUUAUCAGUGCCCGAAUUCGUACACGAUAUACUGAUUCACGAGCUCGGGAGCUAGGGAACUGAUUGAGAGACACCCUGAGAGAGUGUAAUUAACGUUAGUUACAUCCGGGACAUUUAUGCGUUGUGCGCAACGAAACCAAUUUAAAAUUUUCUCACAGACGCCAUUUUCUUUGACUCGCGAUGCAGAGGGAAAACGCCGAUAUUAAGUGUUUUAUCGCCUUUAUAUAUGCAUUUUAUAGCAUAAUAUUGUUUUAUAAUUCAUGUGCUGUGCACGAAACCGCUCUCAGAGAGGCAUUUUCGUUGACGCGCCAUGCGGAGCAGACCAGGAGGUUUCUUUUCAGCAGGGAAACGCCGAAAGCGACAUCUUAUUUGACUCGCGAUACGGAGCUUUAGCUUACUACGAGGAGGUUUGCUUGUAACAGGGAAAACACAGAAAGCCUCACUAACAUAAGUUACAUCUUUGACUCAUGAUGCUGUGCAGACACACAGUUUGCUUUUAACAGAGAAAACACCAAACGGGUUUAAGCUUGUCAUUUACAAAAUUUAGACCUGUCUGAUGUCUUCAGAUGCAUCAUGUUCAUCUCCUGCAUCAACUUUUGAUUUAAGACAGUCCCCCUAGAAGGAAACCAAGGCUGACAGAUGACUCUUCUGAUAAACAAGCAGAAAAAAAGAUUUUGUGGGAAAUCCACAGACACUGGGGGCGCAUGCAAACUCACCACAGAAAGGCCUCCUGGCUCAGCCGGGACCCUCUUGCUGUGAGGCGACAGUGCUACCAACGGAGGUGAGAGCCAUGAGAACGGAGCGAGGCCGGUGGAGCAAAUGCUUAUAAGCGUCUCCAUUCUCGAGUCCCAUGGAGGAGCUCCGGAAGGAUAAGAGGAGAGACAACUGUGCAAGACGUGAGAGGACCAUGCCUGGAUUUUAUGUUGUUGUUUUGUUUUAAUUCAUGAGGACGACUGCUGCUUUAUUUUUGUUUUGUUUCAUCGGUUCCCUCCUCCUCCUUCCCUGAGCCUUUAAUUUUGCUACAGGGUGCCGCCCACCGAAGGGUAUGCAGUAGGGCUGCCCCCUAAUAGUCGACUAACCGUUAGUCGACUUGAAGAGGCUUGGUUGACCAAGAUUUUCUUAAUCGGUUAGUCGCAGAAAAAAAAACCUCCACAGGAAGUUGUGAGGUCACGCAGUCCGUGAGGGACAGAUCGUUAACGGCAGGAAAUCCAAACAUUCGCCUAUCAUUCAUCAUGCAUCAACCUCAAAUAUGGCUUAUCACGUAAAACAAGUAGUAGCAACUUGUCCACUCGCUGUAAUGUUAGCCUAGUCUUAGAUAUGUGCGCUAUUAUUUGCCGCAUAUCCAUGUGCUUGUGUUGAGAGCGCGCUUACUGCAUGACAAGGAGGCGCCGAUGCAAUCAUUGCAUUCAACUAAUUUUUGGUCAUAGAUAAGAGUAAUGCAAAAUGUUAAGGGUCUACUAUUAUUUCUGUUAACUCACAAUAACAGCAAAACAUUGUGCUUUUGUAAAACAAUGAAAGCAAUCAGGAUGCAUUUUCUGCUCUCGGUCUCAGUGAACUUGAGCACGUAACAAACAUGAACCGAAACUCGUAUCGUAUACUUGCCUCACAAACAUGAGAAAUAUAUCUAAUAUAAAGCUUGGAAUGUCUACUUUUAAACGAGCCAAUUCAAAUGGAAAAUAAUUAUUCUCAGAUUACGUAAUCCAUAUGAAGCUUGCAUAUAUGUGCGUCCACUAAUGUGGAGAUGACGAGUCAGCAUCAUGCACUGAGGCAAGCUUUAUGUGUGCGUUUGAGCGCUGAUUAUGCUAUAAUGAUUUAUGGCUUAUUAAUAUAAAUGCGCGAUUAGUCGACUAAUGGCUUAAAUGAACGACUACUGGUCGACUAGAAAAAUCUUUAGUCGAGGGCAGCCCUAGUAUCCAGCGCCACCAUCAGGCAUCAUGGAGGAGUUCACCCAGCUGGUGGAGGACCAGAUGGCAGUGCGUUUUGGGAACCGGACUAAGAAGGUUUUUUUCUUCUCUUCCCUCUCUCGUCUCUGUCUCUCCUCAUCCUUCCGUCUCCUUUUCUCUCGCCUCAUCUGUCCUUACUCCCAGGUGCUGCGGCCACCAUGACACUCCCCCCAGAGGGUACCCCACGGCCUGCGAGAGGUUAUGGGAGUAUGUGGCAAGCAGGGUGGGGCCGAGAGCCAUGGGAACAAAGCGAGGCCGGUGGCUUGAGUGCUAAUGAGCACUUUUAAAUAGAUAUUUUUUCUUCUUCUUUUGCAAAGUACAUGAUUAAUGCUUGGAACCAGUCAUGGAGGAUGAUCUUUUCCAAAUGAAUUCGCUUGGCUGGAUCUCUUUCUAGGCAUGAACUGAUCAGUUCUCUGCAUUCUGUGAAGGAAGAGGGAAGAGAUGUCUGAUUAUUAUUGUCCAGGUAAAGGUCUGAGGUUUCAGCUUUUCAGGGUACCUCCCACUCAGCAUCUUGAACAACAGUACGCCUAGAGAAUACACUGUUGCAGGCUUGGCGUGGUACCUUCUUUGGAAAGCCUCAGGGGGAGCGUAAACUCUUGUGCCUGGAAGAAAAAACAAGAUUUUGUCCAUUGCAAUGAAUCUGUAUUUCCAAAGCUUUUUAUCAGUUUUUUUCAUUAGAAUGCAAUAAGUGA
Molecule: long non-coding RNA, 2708 nt
Organism: Megalobrama amblycephala (Wuchang bream)
Lineage: Eukaryota; Metazoa; Chordata; Actinopteri; Cypriniformes; Xenocyprididae
Exons: 7
Source: RefSeq, a predicted model, not a curated record